Molecule: transfer RNA, 72 nt
Filed under: Candidatus Curtissbacteria bacterium
Lineage: Bacteria; Candidatus Curtissiibacteriota
Description: tRNA-Met
Rfam family: tRNA
About the family: Transfer RNA (tRNA) molecules are approximately 80 nucleotides in length.
Source: RNAcentral
GGCUGCGUAGCUCAGGGGCAGAGCGAUCCACUCAUAACGGAUAGGUCGAUGGUUCGAAUCCAUCCGUAGCCA